Molecule: ribosomal RNA, 305 nt
Filed under: uncultured bacterium
Lineage: Bacteria
Description: bacterial SSU rRNA
Rfam family: Bacterial small subunit ribosomal RNA
Source: RNAcentral
CACUUCCUCGGGGCGCAGCAGUGAGGGAUAUUGGUCAAUGGACGGAAGUCUGAACCAGCCAUGCCGCGUGCAGGAAGACGGCUCUAUGAGUUGUAAACUGCCUUUGUACAAGGGUAAACCUGAAUACGUGUAUUCAGCUGAAAGUACUGUACGAAUAAGGAUCGGCUAACUCCGUGCCAGCAGCCGCGGUAAUACGGAGGAUCCAAGCGUUAUCCGGAUUUAUUGGGUUUAAAGGGUGCGUAGGCGGAUUGAUAAGUUAGAGGUGAAAUGUCCGAGCUUAACUCGGGAACUGCCUCUAAUACUGU